GCCAGCGUGGUGUAGUGGUUUGAGCAUUUGACUAUAACUCUGGAGAUCAGGGUUCGAAUCCCCUCUUGCG
Non-coding RNA from Phrynosoma platyrhinos (Desert horned lizard), 70 nucleotides. The record is from the annotation of a GenBank genome assembly. Lineage: Eukaryota; Metazoa; Chordata; Lepidosauria; Squamata; Phrynosomatidae.